GAGCUUGCUCCUCUGAUUUAGCGGCGGACGGGUGAGUAACACGUGGGUAAUCUGCCUGUAAGACGGGGAUAACUCCGGGAAACCGGGGCUAAUACCGGAUAACAAGAGAAGAAGCAUUUCUUCUUUUUGAAAGUCGGUUUCGGCUGACACUUACAGAUGAGCCCGCGGCGCAUUAGCUAGUUGGUGAGGUAACGGCUCACCAAGGCGACGAUGCGUAGCCGACCUGAGAGGGUGAUCGGCCACACUGGGACUGAGACACGGCCCAGACUCCUACGGGAGGCAGCAGUAGGGAAUCUUCGGCAAUGGGCGAAAGCCUGACCGAGCAACGCCGCGUGAGCGAUGAAGGCCUUCGGGUCGUAAAGCUCUGUUGUUAGAGAAGAACAAGUACGAGAGUAACUGCUCGUACCUUGACGGUACCUAACCAGAAAGCCACGGCUAACUACGUGCCAGCAGCCGCGGUAAUACGUAGGUGGCAAGCGUUAUCCGGAAUUAUUGGGCGUAAAGCGCGCGCAGGCGGUCUCUUAAGUCUGAUGUGAAAGCCCACGGCUCAACCGUGGAGGGUCAUUGGAAACUGGGAGACUUGAGUGCAGGAGAGAAAAGUGGAAUUCCACGUGUAGCGGUGAAAUGCGUAGAGAUGUGGAGGAACACCAGUGGCGAAGGCGGCUUUUUGGCCUGUAACUGACGCUGAGG
This 690-nucleotide ribosomal RNA is filed under the name Fictibacillus sp. RNAcentral's name for it is "bacterial SSU rRNA". It matches the Rfam family "Bacterial small subunit ribosomal RNA", at positions 76 to 751 of the family's 1533-position model. The record is from RNAcentral. Lineage: Bacteria; Bacillati; Bacillota; Bacilli; Caryophanales; Fictibacillaceae.